Molecule: ribosomal RNA, 253 nt
Filed under: uncultured bacterium
Lineage: Bacteria
Description: partial 16S ribosomal RNA
Rfam family: Bacterial small subunit ribosomal RNA
Source: RNAcentral
UACGAAGGGGGCUAGCGUUGCUCGGAAUCACUGGGCGUAAAGGGUGCGUAGGCGGGUCUUUAAGUCAGGGGUGAAAUCCUGGAGCUCAACUCCAGAACUGCCUUUGAUACUGAAGAUCUUGAGUUCGGGAGAGGUGAGUGGAACUGCGAGUGCAGAGGUGAAAUUCGUAGAUAUUCGCAAGAACACCCGUGGCGAAGGCGGCAUCCUGGACCGGCAUUGACGCUGAACAGCGAAAGCUAGGGGAGCAAACAGG